UGCAAGUCGUGCGAGAAAGUCGCCUUCGGGUGGCGAGUAAAGCGGCAAACGGGUGAGUAACGCGUGGGUAACCUACCCAAGGGUCUGGGAUAACCCGGGGAAACCUGAGCUAAUACCAGAUAAGCCUACGAGGUCUUCGGGCCAUGUAGGAAAACGGUGGCCUCUCCUUGGAAGCUACCGCCCAUGGAUGAGCCCGCGUCCCAUUAGCUUGUUGGUGAGGUAACGGCUCACCAAGGCUCCGAUGGGUAGCUGGUCUGAGAGGACGAUCAGCCACACUGGAACUGAGACACGGUCCAGACUCCUACGGGAGGCAGCAGUCGGGAAUCUUGGGCAAUGGGCGCAAGCCUGACCCAGCGACGCCGCGUGAGGGAUGAAGGCCUUCGGGUCGUAAACCUCUGUCGGGAGGGAAGAUGGGCCGCAAGGCGAAUAGUCUUGUGGUUUGACGGUACCUCCAAAGGANNGACCGGCUAACUCCNUGCCAGCAGCCG
Molecule: ribosomal RNA, 488 nt
Filed under: uncultured Pseudomonadota bacterium
Lineage: Bacteria; Pseudomonadati; Pseudomonadota
Description: bacterial SSU rRNA
Rfam family: Bacterial small subunit ribosomal RNA
Source: RNAcentral